AGUGAACGCUGGCGGUAGGCCUAACACAUGCAAGUCGAACGGCAGCACAGUAAGAGCUUGCUCUUACGGGUGGCGAGUGGCGGACGGGUGAGGAAUACAUCGGAAUCUACUUUUUCGUGGGGGAUAACGUAGGGAAACUUACGCUAAUACCACAUACGACCUACGGGUGAAAGCAGGGGAUCUUCGGACCUUGCACGAUUGAAUGAGCCGAUGUCGGAUUAGCUAGUUGGCGGGGUAAAGGCCCACCAAGGCGACGAUCCGUAGCUGGUCUGAGAGGAUGAUCAGCCACACUGGAACUGAGACACGGUCCAGACUCCUACGGGAGGCAGCAGUGGGGAAUAUUGGACAAUGGGCGCAAGCCUGAUCCAGCCAUACCGCGUGGGUGAAGAAGGCCUUCGGGUUGUAAAGCCCUUUUGUUGGGAAAGAAAAGCAGCAGGUUAAUACCCCGCUGUUCUGACGGUACCCAAAGAAUAAGCACCGGCUAACUUCGUG
RNAcentral lists this ribosomal RNA (492 nucleotides) under uncultured bacterium. RNAcentral's name for it is "partial 16S ribosomal RNA". It matches the Rfam family "Bacterial small subunit ribosomal RNA", at positions 29 to 507 of the family's 1533-position model. The record is from RNAcentral.